AUGGAAGCAGUUUGGGUGAUGAAGCAACCUUUUCCUUUGGGUACCUUGGGCCCCAUGUCCCCUCUAUCAGGAAAGAACAAGACCUGCAGUGUUCCUCAGUCCCACAUCCAUGAACCCCUACCUGGAUUCUUAUCAGGAUGCUGGCCUUGUUACAGUCACAAUACUCAGAUGACAAGAAUUUCAAGAGAAGAUAAAGGACCUUGGUGUGAUUGGACACUGAGAGCAGCAGACAAAAACCAGUGGAGAAGUAUGAUUUACAAAAGAAAAAAAUUGCUCUUUGCAUAUUUAGAACAAUUACUGCAAGAUGAGAAGGAUGUUUAUGUGCUGGAAGGAGAAAGAAAAGAUGCUGGGAAUAAGAACAGCAGCUUAAAUUUUUUUAAGCUUUCCUUUCUCAAAUUGUGA
Molecule: long non-coding RNA, 402 nt
Filed under: Numida meleagris (helmeted guineafowl)
Lineage: Eukaryota; Metazoa; Chordata; Aves; Galliformes; Numididae
Description: lncRNA (ENSNMEG00000010856.1)
Source: RNAcentral